UAGGCCAGAGCUCAAGAAGCUGCUGAAUGGUCUGGGCCUUCGGGACCCAGAGGGCUUCCUGUUCAAGGAGAUGAUGACCUGGGUCCAGGGCUCCAAACUUAAUUCCAAGGCCAAGCUGCGCUUAUACUGCUGCCAGAAGCUGGAGGGCAUGAUCCAGCAGCUGAAGGUCUGGUGCACAUGGCCUAGCUGGGCUUCUCCAGAGGCAGCCCUGGGGUCCCCUGGGCUACAGGGAUGCCUGCUUUGGCUUCCUGCUCAGGGGUGGGGCACCCGGUCCCUGGGGCUGGGAAUUAGGCAAAAGGGAAUUUCAGUAGCCAAGGAGCAAGGAUGCUUCUUAGACUGGCCACUUCCUCUACAGAUGGAAACUUUACAGCCAUCUACAGCUCAGUUGUCAAUGGUGCUGCCCAAAGGCUCUGAUACCUGGCCGCCUUCCUUUCCUCCCAGGGAGGACCAGUCACAGGCUUCAGCAGUCUCAGGGGCUCCUUCGAGCAUCUUCUGGCCGCAAGCCUCUCAGGCGCUCCUCCAUGUCCUGGAGCCUCCCUUGCUUGUGGUGUCCCCCACAGAAUCUAAAGCUGGAUCCCCAGAGCCCCAGGCUCACUUUUACACUGGGCAGACCAGGCGGUCGCUCUCAGAGACGCUGAAGAGCUUCUGCUCGGUGCCUGAGCCCUCCAUGCCCACUGCACCACAUGGCCUGCCACAGCCGCUGGAAAAGACCGACUGGUCGAAAUGGCAGAUGCUGGACCUGGGCUACGUCGAUGCACUCAACCACUUCUGCGAGCAGCAUCAAGUACAGCAGCAGAGUUUGAUCCAGAAGGAAACCGAACAGCCACCCCGCUCUGCAUCCCCGCGCCCUCCUGUGCCUAACACUGUGGUGGCGCCACCCAGGGAUCAAGGGUGAGUGCAGCGAGGGGGCCCCCUGGCCGGCAUGGGCAGGUGAGCAUUGUCUGUCU
This 947-nucleotide long non-coding RNA is filed under the name Marmota monax (woodchuck). The record is from RNAcentral. Lineage: Eukaryota; Metazoa; Chordata; Mammalia; Rodentia; Sciuridae.